Molecule: long non-coding RNA, 533 nt
Filed under: Chelonoidis abingdonii (Abingdon island giant tortoise)
Lineage: Eukaryota; Metazoa; Chordata; Testudines; Testudinidae
Description: lncRNA (ENSCABG00000009458.1)
Source: RNAcentral
GGGCCGCCCCACAGGGCUGCUGCUACCGCCGCGCUGGGCUCCGUGCCCGCCAGCACCGAGCCGGCCCCGGCGCGGGACGCGAGCAGCUCCCCUAGGUAACGGUACAUGGUGGCAGCUGCAGCGGGGCCAGGAGGCAGAGUCGGGGCUGCUCUAGCGCUGCGCGGCCGAUGGCACAACAGAGGCGGCCUGGCUCCGCCGCCGCCUUUAAAUGGCCCCGCGGGGCGAGGCCGGAGGGGCGGCUCGGGUCACACAACACCUCCCUGCCGCGCGUGCGCACACGCCGCGCCCGGAACCCCUCCGCCCUCUUGGCUCCGCCGUGAGGAGCUGGGCGCGGUGCCGGCCUUCAGCCCGUCUCCCGGAAGGCCCGAGAGUAACAUAUGGAGGACAUCAGAAGACUCUCCUUUCAGUUAAACUGGUAAAAGAUCACUAGGAUGGUUUUAAAGAGACCAGAUUGUCCCACUGAUGUCCUCAUCAAGAUUUGUCAAGGACUGGUGGACACACAAUUAUUCGAUGGACACUAUCUCAAAAUCACA